Molecule: ribosomal RNA, 468 nt
Filed under: uncultured bacterium
Lineage: Bacteria
Description: partial 16S ribosomal RNA
Rfam family: Bacterial small subunit ribosomal RNA
Source: RNAcentral
GACGAACGCUGGCGGCGUGCUUAACACAUGCAAGUCGAACGGAAAGGCCCUGCUUUUGUGGGGUGCUCGAGUGGCGAACGGGUGAGUAACACGUGAGUAACCUGCCCUUGACUUUGGGAUAACUUCAGGAAACUGGGGCUAAUACCGGAUAGGAGCUCCUGCUGCAUGGUGGGGGUUGGAAAGUUUCGGCGGUUGGGGAUGGACUCGCGGCUUAUCAGCUUGUUGGUGGGGUAGUGGCUUACCAAGGCUUUGACGGGUAGCCGGCCUGAGAGGGUGACCGGCCACAUUGGGACUGAGAUACGGCCCAGACUCCUACGGGAGGCAGCAGUGGGGAAUAUUGCACAAUGGGCGGAAGCCUGAUGCAGCAACGCCGCGUGCGGGAUGACGGCCUUCGGGUUGUAAACCGCUUUCGCCUGUGACGAAGCGUGAGUGACGGUAAUGGGUAAAGGAGCACCGGCUAACUACGUG